RNAcentral lists this unclassified non-coding RNA (1751 nucleotides) under Leishmania donovani. RNAcentral describes it as "gene:LdHU3.27.0240(CDS-product:proteasome_alpha_7 _subunit_putative)". The record is from RNAcentral. Lineage: Eukaryota; Euglenozoa; Kinetoplastea; Trypanosomatida; Trypanosomatidae.
CCUUUCGAAGCACUCCAGUGACGUUAUUUCCUCGAUCUCGACUCUCGAUUUCCUUUUCCUUCUCUGUUUGGAAGGCAACAGUGCAGGAAGAGAAGCAUUCGCCUGCAGGUCUCGCACUUUCUCUCCAUACGCAAGCACAUCCGCACGCACAGGCGCGCCGUGCCGAUAGGCAGUUGUUUUCUCCGGAGCACAUAUCCCUCUCCUCAAUCUCUAUCCUGCUCACGGUCUGUCCCGGCGCACCUCUUCGCUCAGAAGUAGUGCCAGACGUAAAGGCGCUCAGCUUCAGAUAUCAAAUCACCCUUUGAGACUUCUCACGAUGGCGGGCACAGGCAGCGGCCACGAUCAGUCGACGGACGUAUUUUCGGCCGAAGGUCGCGUGUUCCAGGUGGAGUACGCCGGCAAGGCUGUCGACAACAGCAGCACCGCCGUUGCGGCGUGCUGCAAGGACGGCGUUGUGGUUGCGGUGGAAAAAAUUUACACGAGUCGCAUGCUGGAGAAAGGCUCGAACAACCGCAUCCACGCCGUGGACCGCCAGGCCGGCAUUUGCAUCUGCGGUCUUCUCCCGGACGGGCGCGCGAUUGUCUCUCGCGCGCGGCAGGAGGCGGAGAAUAGUCGCGACAUUUUCGCCACCCCCAUCCGCGGUUCGGUGCUGGCAAAUCGCGUGGGGGAGUUCAUGCAUGUGUACACCACCCACUUUGCGUACCGCCCGUUCGGGUGCUCGGCCAUCAUCGCGUCGUAUGCUGAUGACGGACCGCAGCUCUUCGUUAGCGAUCCCAGCGGCACGGUGGCCGGGUACUACGGCGUUGCGCUCGGCAAGGCCAAGACAGUGGCAAAGAGCGAGCUGGAGAAGCUCGACUUCUCCAGCCUCACUUGCGACGAUGCGGUAGUGAAGCUGGCCAACAUCCUUCACGAUGUGCAUGACAAGCAGAAGGACAAGCUUUACGAAGUGGAAGUUGCGUGGGUCUGCGACAAGUCGGAUCGCAUGUUUGUGCACGUGGCGGCUGACAUGGUUCCGUCGGAAACGUCGAACUGAUGUUGCCGCAGUUUUGUGAUGACGCCUGUGAGCAUCAGCUGACCUGUGGGAGAGAGCUGACGGGUGUGCAUGUGUGGUUUGCUGCGUCGUCCGCGAGCGUGACGCGAUGCACGCACGUCUUACCCUCGGAUUCUCUUGCUCAAGUGUUGCGUCUUCUCCCCUGCCCGCCGUUCUUGUCUCUUCCCUUUAUUUCUUUGUUUCGGCGGCGUGUAUGUGUUGGCGUGGACACGGGUGCGAGCCCCGCUUUUUUCCUGUAGUGUUAUCGUGAGGCGCCUAUGCCGUAUGAGAUACCCGCGUCUUGGCAUGCGCGGGGAAGCUGCAGGCUAGGGAAGACGGAAUGGCGGUGUAGGAAAAUAGACAGAUUGAUGUGUGUGUGUGUGUGUAUGUGCGUGGAGGUGCAGGAGAGGGUCGCGGAGCUUACUCACGCAUGCAUGACAAGAGUUGUAGAGAAGAAGAUGUCGGCGACUCCGAGAAUCUCGUUUAUCCCUGUUAUGCCGGCAUGCAUGCAGAGUGUGGAGAAGUUCUUGAGCCACGACGGCGUGUGACCUCCCUCUGCAGUUCUCCUUUCUCACCCCCUUUUGUAUCCAUCCCGGGUGGCCUCCCAUUUUUUUUGCCUCUCCCUUUCUCUUGAGAGGGCCAACGCAUGUGGGAGCGGUCACUGCUCAUUACGGAUUGGCGGAGAUGAUGUUAUGCCGGAGCCAACCACCACUGUGAGCAC